UCCAUUCCCUUUCCUCCUGGCAUGGCUCAAUAGGGCACUACCAGACCCUUCCAGAGGUUCAGCUGGGAGGUGGAGGACUUUGUCCCCGAAGCAGUGUCCAGACAAUGGCUCCUACACAUUCCACAGAAUGGUGUUAGGGGCUUCCGGCUGAACAGGGGCAGCUAAGAAGGAAAGAAGCCAAGCUCUCUGGGCUUGGAAGACCCCAGGCUGCUGGGCCACCACGUGGGGGUGGGACUUGGAGAGAAUCCAAGACCACCUGCUCACCCACCCCCCGUCCCUGUCCCUGUGGGCAGGGGGCACUUCCUCUCCCCGAGGCCAGGAACCCUGGUACCCAGAAUUCGCACGUGAUCUGGACACGUGUGGGAGGCAGAGGGGCAUGCUGUCCUCCAGCUGGAUGUCACUCAGCCCUCCUGCUGUGUGUCCAGGGCGGUCAGGUACGGACUAUUCUCGGUGCCAUGAGUAGUGCAGAUGAUGGGACAUGCUUGAGCCUGGGGCUCCAUGUGCGCUCAGAGGCUGGAGGAGAUGGAAACUCGGGCUUCCUGGGGACCACAAUGUAGGGUGUGGCCAGGGAGCUCCUCACAACCAGGAAUGAGAGGUGAUGGGACGUGGAGUCUCACUAGGGGCUCCUUUCCCAGAGGAGCUGCCUGGCAGGGAUCCCGUAAGGGCAAAGGUGGAAGCUCAUAGAAGUCACACAGGAAGUGCCCCCAGCCAGACCACAGACCACAACAAGGACACUGACCAAGACACCAAGGAUGGUGUCUCCACCGGGGACAGUCAGGGAGUGCAGGAAAUGUUCUGGGGUUCAGAGGAGUUCUGGGGACGGCUUCACGGAGCGGCCAUGCUGUGGAGAGAAGGGAGCUUAGCUGUGGCAACUGAAGCCAGACCCAGACGAUGGUCAAGUCGUCGUCCAACUCUGGCCGAAGUCGGUGCACAGCAAGGCUUCCCCAUCGCCACGGCGGCUCCUUUACAGAAGAUGCUGGAUUUGUGAAUCCAGCCCUUGACAGAAGGGGCAUAACUUAUGAGGAAAACAGAUCAUUUAAAAAUAAAA
Molecule: long non-coding RNA, 1048 nt
Filed under: Mustela putorius furo (domestic ferret)
Lineage: Eukaryota; Metazoa; Chordata; Mammalia; Carnivora; Mustelidae
Description: lncRNA (ENSMPUG00000030961.1)
Source: RNAcentral